AUGAAACGUCAAAAAAGCAGGAAGGCGAUCAGCAUCGGAAUGAUUUAUAUGUGAAUUCUUUCAGACAGAACUCAACUACCUGCUACCCAUCACCAAAGACAAGGAUCAAGUUCAGCCCCUCCAGAACUGCCAACUCCACAGAAGAUGCUUUACACAAGGGAAGAAACAAAACAUGAGAGGCCAGCUGUUCGUGGGGUAACGUCUUCACAUUGCCAUUUUGCUGUCAACGAUAAUUAGAAGAGCUUUGAUAUUUAUCUCACAUUUGGGCAAACAUUGCUUGAACAGAAGACCGCGAACAACUACAUCGAUAUGGAAAGUGCAAGUCAGUUAUGAUCAUUUAAAAAUGUGUUAACUUCUGUAAAAUAGUAGCCUGUGGUUUGUUUCUCACAUGAAGUGUUGGGUCUUGAUGUUAAAAAUUAGAGCCUACAGAUACUGGGACUCCAGUCAAAAGCAUUUUCUUGAUUGGGAGAUUUAUCCUGUGCUAAGUAGUCGUGAUUCUGGACAAAUAUACAGCUCAAAAGCUGCAAUGGAAAGCACUGAAUUGCCACCACUUCAACCACAUCACUGUGCACUUGAAUGCCUUCUUCAGCAAACAACUGAAAGUUCCCUCAGAAAUGCUUCACCUACCCCUGUCAUUGCUUUCUGCUGGGGGUGCAAGAAGAAACGAGCGGAAGUUGGCAUCAUUACCACUUGUGUUGUGAUGUUCACCUGGUCUUGAUACCUCCAGGGAUGGGGCAGCCACAACUUCCCUGGGCAAACCUGUUCCAGUGUCUCACCACUCUCAUGGUGAAGAAAUUCCUUCUGAAGAGCACACUAAGAUGGUACAGACUCAGAGUGGUCCCCAGACACUGCAAUUCAGCCAAAAUACCUGUAUUUGAUAUUCGGAAUUAAGGCAAUUUAAAUUAUACCCUGAAAGUUUGUACAGUUGUGAAAAAAAAUAAAGCGACAAAUACAUUUUUUAGGCUAGAUAUUAGGAGAUUACUUUAUCAAAAGGGUUGUCAAGCACAGGAGCAGGCUGCCCAGGGACAGGAUUGAGUCCCCAUCUCCGGAGGGAUUUAAGAUGUAGAUGUGGUGCUUAGGGACACAGUUUAGGGGUGAACCUGGCAGUGUUUGGGUAAGGGUUGGACUUAAUGAUCUUAAAGGUUUCUUUCAAUCUAAAUAAUUCCACGCUUUUAUGAUUUGAAACCCAACAUUCUAAUGUCAAAGGACAUUUUCUAUUCUCAUCAUCUGCUUUUAAGGAAUGAGACAAAGAAAGUAAACGACAGUGGAUUUGGGAGAUGCUGCUCCAAGCACCUUAGAGCUUCUAGUCACCAAACUGUCUAUGCCUACCAAAAACCCUGACAAGCAUUAAAUUACAUUUAUGUAUUGCACAAGAAGAUGACCAUGAGAUAAUAUCAAUACAGCACUGAGAUACCUUUAAAUGAUCAUGCAAAAAAAGCCAUAAAAUUCAUUAGUAACCUUUUGAAGUCUGAGCAAAGUCUGUAUAGUUUAGGUGAUUAAAAAAAAUGAGCGAGAACUUGGUUUUGCAACGCCUCUGAAAUCAAUUACGUCGCAAGGAAAUUAUGUCAAUGACGAAUAUUGUUAAUGUAUUUACUCAGCAUACAGAUUGUCUGUGGUUUUACGUAAAAAUGGCUAUGAAAUGGAACCCAAACAGUGUGAGAAAUGCAGCCGCACGUACCAUACGUUAUCCCGGACACUGAAAAAUGCAGAGAACGGACCUGGAAAAGGAUGGUGGCAGCGGCACAGUUAUGUCGAAGCAAGUUAUGAGCACGGAGUGAAGGUAAAGAGAAGGUACAUGACUUGCCAACUGCCGAAAGUAAGAAAGAGCAGUCGGAUUCAUGAAUCCUUACUCUGCACAUCAGCCUCGGGAGCAUCAGCAUUUCACAACCACACUGAAAUCAGGAAUUAAAGGCAAAACCUAUGGAAACUUAAUAUUUUGGAUUUAAGAUCCCUUUAGUUGUCCUUCAUGCUUACACUGCCUGUUGCCACCAUCGCCUUGGCUAUGCUUUACCCUCCUUUUCUGGCUUAAUCAACAAGUAAAACAGGCAGAGACUAAAGAAGUACAGACACACCAAAAACAUCCUGGAAAGCUCACAAAAAAAACGAGGCAGAGACAAAAAUAAACAAUGAUAUGAAAAUAUAAGCCCUUUGAGUUGAAAGUACAAUGCUCAGAUAGAGCUUCUGCAAAUGUUUAUGGGUGCCAGCAUCACAAACAUCUACCACGUCUCUCUGAAAGACUUAAUUUAUUGAUUCUUUUACAAUUUAAGUGUAUGUCUGCAUCCAGAUACAACCACGCUGGUGUAAUGACCUGAAUGGGCUUGGCUUGUACACAAGGCACGGCAAGUUUUGCAAUCCAAUUUUGAGCUCUGACGGUGCUCAUUUUUACAACGUGGAGACUUCGUGUGAAGAAUAGGUUUUUAGAAGAUUGCUCAGUACGUUAAUAACUCAAAGAGCACAUUGGAUGUACUCAUUCCGUGGGACAGGGGAUACUCUUUGGGCAUUGCCUUCCAGAAACAAAAGUGAAGAAAAGCACUGAGAAAACAGUUUCUCUCUGUGAGACGGGAGAGUGAGGGGCAAAAAAACUCCCAGACAGUAAAGAUUCAAUCCAACACUGAACCGCUUCAUCUGAUUUUGUCCCAUCACAGCAACACAGAACGGAGCUCUUAUUUGGCUCCAUCUCAGCCGGCGUCUUCUUUGCCCUCGUGUAAAGGUAGAGAGCGUACAGCUGCAGCACGAGCCUCCCUCCAGCGCAGCAGGCUUCCUCCUCAUUUAGAGAGCUUCCUCCAAGCAUGCUCGGACUGAGAUUCAUUCCCGGAGAAGUCAACACUUCAGACUCAGGUGGGGAACAGGACUGGAUGACAGCUUUAAUUUCCACAUAGAUGAGACACCGCACUGCAUAUCAACUUUAUAUUAUCACCCGCCUACGAAUUCAAUGAUCUCUUCGAGCCCAAUCCCUGCAGCUGUUCAGAGUUCAGAACCCAGUAUAAACAAAAUUAGGAGCUAACAACUAACAAAAAUCCAGCUUUAGUGCUAUUUGUAAUCUUUUCAUUUUGGCUUAUAUUUGAAUCUUAAGUGAUUUUGAUUGCUAACAAAAGCGAAGACACAAAGUUACACUGGAAUUAUCU
Molecule: long non-coding RNA, 3125 nt
Organism: Cuculus canorus (common cuckoo)
Lineage: Eukaryota; Metazoa; Chordata; Aves; Cuculiformes; Cuculidae
Exons: 4
Source: RefSeq, a predicted model, not a curated record